RNAcentral lists this ribosomal RNA (484 nucleotides) under uncultured bacterium. Its description in RNAcentral is "partial 16S ribosomal RNA". It matches the Rfam family "Bacterial small subunit ribosomal RNA", at positions 30 to 507 of the family's 1533-position model. The record is from RNAcentral.
AUUGAACGCUGGCGGCAGGCCUAACACAUGCAAGUCGAGCGGAUGAAGGGAGCUUGCUCCUGGAUUCAGCGGCGGACGGGUGAGUAAUGCCUAGGAAUCUGCCUGGUAGUGGGGGAUAACGUCCGGAAACGGGCGCUGAUACCGCAUACGUACUGAGGGAGAAAGAGGGGGAUCUUCGGACCUCACGCUAUCAGAUGAGCCUAGGUCGGAUUAGCUAGUUGGUGGGGUAAAGGCCUACCAAGGCGACGAUCCGUAACUGGUCUGAGAGGAUGAUCAGUCACACUGGAACUGCGACACGGUCCUGACUCCUACGGGAGUCAGCAGUGGGGAAUAUUGGACUAUGGGCGAAAGCCUGAUCCAGCCAUGCCGCGUGUGUGAAGAAGGUCUUCGGAUUGUAAAGCACUUUAAGUUGGGAGGAAGGGCAGUAAGUUAAUACCUUGCUGUUUUGACGUUACCAACAGAAUAAGCACCGGCUAACUUCGUG